Molecule: ribosomal RNA, 233 nt
Filed under: uncultured bacterium
Lineage: Bacteria
Description: partial 16S ribosomal RNA
Rfam family: Bacterial small subunit ribosomal RNA
Source: RNAcentral
CGGGACGGGUGAGUAAUGUCGUGGGAAACUGCCUGAUGGAGGGGGAUAACUACUGGAAACGGUAGCUAAUACCGCAUAACGUCGCAAGACCAAAGAGGGGGACCUCCGGGCCUCUUGCCAUCGGAUGUGCCCAGAUGGGAUUAGCUAGUAGGUGGGGUAACGGCUCACCUAGGCGACGAUCCCUAGCUGGUCUGAGAGGAUGCCAGCCACACUGGAACUGAGACACGGUCCAG